This 468-nucleotide ribosomal RNA is filed under the name uncultured bacterium. RNAcentral's name for it is "bacterial SSU rRNA". It matches the Rfam family "Bacterial small subunit ribosomal RNA", at positions 40 to 507 of the family's 1533-position model. The record is from RNAcentral.
CGGCGUGCCUAACACAUGCAAGUCGAACGAAGCACUGCGGAAAGAGACUUCGGUCAAUGGAAGCUUUGACUUAGUGGCGGACGGGUGAGUAACGCGUGAGGAACCUGCCUCAAAGAGGGGACAACAGUUGGAAACGACUGCUAAUACCGCAUAAGCCCACGACCUGGCAUCGGGUAGAGGGAAAAGGAGCAAUCCGCUUUGAGAUGGCCUCGCGUCCGAUUAGCUAGUUGGUGAGGUAAUGGCCCACCAAGGCGACGAUCGGUAGCCGGACUGAGAGGUUGAACGGCCACAUUGGGACUGAGACACGGCCCAGACUCCUACGGGAGGCAGCAGUGGGGAAUAUUGCACAAUGGGGGAAACCCUGAUGCAGCGACGCCGCGUGGAGGAAGAAGGUCUUCGGAUUGUAAACUCCUGUUGUUGAGGAAGAUAAUGACGGUACUCAACAAGGAAGUGACGGCUAACUACGUG